RNAcentral lists this ribosomal RNA (274 nucleotides) under uncultured bacterium. RNAcentral describes it as "partial 16S ribosomal RNA". It matches the Rfam family "Bacterial small subunit ribosomal RNA", at positions 523 to 796 of the family's 1533-position model. The record is from RNAcentral.
CUACGGAGGGUGCAAGCGUUACUCGGAAUCACUGGGCGUAAAGCGCACGCAGGCGGCUAUUUAAGUUGGAUGUGAAAGCCUACGGCUCAACCGUAGAACUGCAUCCAAAACUAUUUAGCUAGAGUGUGGGAGAGGAAGAUGGAAUUAGUUGUGUAGGGGUAAAAUCCGUAGAGAUAACUAGGAAUACCAAAAGCGAAGGCAAUCUUCUGGAACACUACUGACGCUGAGGCGCGAAAGCGUGGGGAGCAAACAGGAUUAGAUACCCUAGUAGUCC